This 301-nucleotide ribosomal RNA is filed under the name Pichia kudriavzevii. Its description in RNAcentral is "LSU rRNA". It matches the Rfam family "Eukaryotic large subunit ribosomal RNA", at positions 279 to 642 of the family's 3401-position model. Lineage: Eukaryota; Fungi; Ascomycota; Pichiomycetes; Pichiales; Pichiaceae. The record is from RNAcentral.
AAUGCAGCUCCAAGCGGGUGGUAAAUUCCAUCUAAGGCUAAAUACUGGCGAGAGACCGAUAGCGAACAAGUACUGUGAAGGAAAGAUGAAAAGCACUUUGAAAAGAGAGUGAAACAGCACGUGAAAUUGUUGAAAGGGAAGGGUAUUGCGCCCGACAUGGGGAUUGCGCACCGCUGCCUCUCGUGGGCGGCGCUCUGGGCUUUCCCUGGGCCAGCAUCGGUUCUUGCUGCAGGAGAAGGGGUUCUGGAACGUGGCUCUUUUGCUUAUUAUUCCAGGGCCAGAUGCUGCGUGCGGGGACCGA